RNAcentral lists this ribosomal RNA (442 nucleotides) under uncultured bacterium. RNAcentral describes it as "bacterial SSU rRNA". It matches the Rfam family "Bacterial small subunit ribosomal RNA", at positions 29 to 513 of the family's 1533-position model. The record is from RNAcentral.
AACGAACGCUGGCGGCAGGCCUCAAACAUGCAAGUCUAGGGGGUGUAGCAAUACAUCACCGGCGGACGGGUGCGUAACGCGUGGGAAUAUACCUAUCGAUUCGGAACAACUGAGGGAAACUUCAGCUAAUACCGAAUACGUCCUAACGGAGAAAGAUUUAUCGUCGAUAGAUUAGCCCGCGUUCGAUUAGCUAGUUGGUGGGGUAACGGCCCACCAAGGCGACGAUCGAUAGCUGUUCUGAGAGGAAGAUCAGCCACACUGGGACUGAGACACGGCCCAGACUCCUACGGGAGGCAGCAGUUGGGAAUCUUGGACAAUGGGGGGAAACCCUGAUCCAGCCAUGCCGCGUGAGUGAUGAAGGCCUUCGGUUGGUAAAACUCUUUCGCGCACGACGAUAAUGACGGUAGUGCGAGAAGAAGCUCCGGCUAACUUCGUGCCAGCA